UACGGAGGAUUCGAGCGUUAUCCGGAAUCAUUGGGUUUAAAGGGUCCGUAGGCGGGAUUAUAAGUCAGUGGUGAAAUUUUCCGGCUCAACCGGAGGACUGCCAUUGAUACUGUAGUUCUUGAAUGACUUUGAAGUGGUUAGAAUAUGUAGUGUAGCGGUGAAAUGCAUAGAUAUUACAUAGAAUACCGAUUGCGAAGGCAGAUCACUAAGAGUACAUUGACGCUAAGGGACGAAAGCGUGGGUAGCGAACAGG
Molecule: ribosomal RNA, 253 nt
Filed under: uncultured bacterium
Lineage: Bacteria
Description: partial 16S ribosomal RNA
Rfam family: Bacterial small subunit ribosomal RNA
Source: RNAcentral